Non-coding RNA from Cyanistes caeruleus (blue tit), 1678 nucleotides. The record is from RefSeq and is a predicted model, not a curated record. Lineage: Eukaryota; Metazoa; Chordata; Aves; Passeriformes; Paridae.
AAAAUGUAGCUAUACUCUGAAAUUGUCCUUGUCAUUAGAGGCUAAAGCUGCAACAUAAGAGCUACAACGACUUGAAGUUAAUGCCACUGUGAAGCAACAUUAGCCUUAAGACUCUGAAUACUGUGAACAUUUGGUGUUUCUUCAUCCUUCAGUGGAGGAGUUGGAAGUCUCUAAGAUAUCUUCAGUCAUAGUCUGAAGAAUCUGUCCUGGAAGAGCUACAGAGAUGGAAAUGGACUGGAUAUAUAGAGAUGGAAAUGGAUGGUGAAAACUGACUCUUUGAUGAGCAAGAAAUACAACAGAUGGUUAUUAUGUGAGCUGUUUUCUGCAAGGCUGAAUCCUCCUAAAGACCUAGGAAAACUUUGGGAAAUCCUAUGUUUGCUGGAAGAGAGCAGUUCACUGCUCUUCACAGACUGCUGAUUCUGGUCAUAGCCAUAAAAGGCCUAAUUACAGCCUUUACUGGAAACCCUGUAGUAUCCUUGGCACCUGCUGCUGCUGCACAGUUGUCAGGUGGUUCUUGGCUCCUUAGAAGAUUGGAUCACUUUGAGGACAGCAGCCAUUUGUUCCUGAUGUUGAGCACUACACCAUCUUCCUCUACCAACCCCUUCUAUUUUAAAGGGAAGGGCAAAGGUGAACUCUCAAAGAGAAUUACUGAUUAUUAAAUUUUCAUUGAACUAAAAGUAUAAUCUGAGGAAGUUUUUAGCAACUUGCUGGCACUGUUUAAAAGUGGGGAAGGUAGCAGUUCUGAUCAGAUCCUGCCUGAUCAGAAAAGUUAAUGGAAAAUGGUAGGAAAUACAAUCUAGAAGGUUCUGGAACAUAUUGAUAAUUAAACAAAAUCUGCCAUCAUUUUUGAAUAAGAAAUUUUUGUGCAGAGUUGCUGGUAUUAUACUUUGUAGUGAGUUUCAGAGCAACUCACUGAGUUUUCUGAAAACUUUUUUGAUCAAAUAGUUCAGCAGUGAAAAAGAGACAGCAGAAGUAAAACCAAAGCUUUGUGAAGUGUGUACAAUGGUCUUCAGCUUCAAAUUCAGAUCUGGGUCCAAGUUUUGAAUUCCUGAAAGUCUCUUUGAAUCCAGGCUUUUGGCUUAGGAGCACAGAGUAGUUAUAACAGUUUUUUGCAGGCCUAAUUAGGAGCAUAAUUGCUUUAUGAAAGAAGAAUAUGAAGUUGAUUUUUUUUCUCUAUUUAUUUUAUAAGAAAAUCCUAUAUCCUAUGGGGCAAACCAAAGCUAAGUUUAGUUGCUGUGUCUUUACCAAUGGACAGGUGUAAUCAGCACCGAUCAAACUAAAGACUUUUCACAUCAUAUAUGGAGAGAGCAUGCACAGAGACACUAUUCUAUUUUGGUGUCCAGACCUAGUAAGAGUGGAUAUUUGGGGAUCAGGGCUAUGAAUUUAUUUACAUAAUUAAUGGAAGACCUUCCUUUUUGGCUGCAGUGAGCUUGCAUGUAGCCCUAUUUGGAAAAAUUAUGAAUUCAAAGACUAUAUCUCGUAGUCCUUGGGCACACACAUGCCAACUCUGGGUUUGGGAACAUAACUUUUUUCCAUUGAUCACCCAGUAAAAUAACUUGCCUGACCUCAGAAAGUGUUGUAAAAUUUAGUACUUGUGAAAGUUCAAAAAUGGGACAAUAGUGUUGGAUGUUUAUUGUAUUAUUGUUAAUAAAAUGUUUGUGAGGUCUCUGUUACUGUU